RNAcentral lists this ribosomal RNA (779 nucleotides) under uncultured Neocallimastigales. RNAcentral's name for it is "partial large subunit ribosomal RNA". It matches the Rfam family "Eukaryotic large subunit ribosomal RNA", at positions 26 to 644 of the family's 3401-position model. Lineage: Eukaryota; Fungi; Neocallimastigomycota; Neocallimastigomycetes; Neocallimastigales. The record is from RNAcentral.
CGUCUAUAUACGUAUAGCAUAUCAAUAAGCGGAGGAAAAGAAACUAACUAGGAUUCCCUUAGUAACGGCGAGUGAAGCGGGAAGAGCUCAAAUUUGAAAUCUUCAAGGUUCUACCUUGACGAAUUGUAGUUUAAAGAAGUGUUUUCUGUUAGAUGAGUAGGUAAAAGUUCCUUGGAAUAGGGACAUCAUAGAGGGUGAGAAUCCCGUAUUUGGUUAUUCAUUCUAGCUUUGUGAUACACUUUCAAAGAGUCGGAUUGUUUGGGAAUGCAGUCCAAAAUGGGUGGUAAAUUUCAUCUAAAGCUAAAUAUUGGCGAGAGACCGAUAGCGAACAAGUACCGUGAGGGAAAGAUGAAAAGAACUUUGAAAAGAGAGUUAAACAGUACGUGAAAUUGUCAAUAAGGGAAGCGUUCGACACCAGUGUUGUUUUCUCGAAAAUCAAUUAAAGAAGGCCUGGAUUUUGUGUUGUAUUGACUUUAUCAGCUUUCUGCACUCUUUUUCUUGUCUUUUUUAAUGCACUUUUCGUUUAACAAGUCAACAUCAAUUUCUUUUGUUGUAAAGGGGUCAUUGGAAGGUGGCUUUCUUUUCGGAGAAAGUGUUUAUAGCCUUUGGCCUCUGCAAUCGGAGAGAUUGAGGUCUGCAGCGUAGAUCCUUCGGGGUUAGAUACAUUUGUGCUAAGUUAUAGCCUUUCAUAGACAACUUGUUGACUAUGAUCAGUCAUGUAGCUUACUCGCUUAUGCUAUUUUACCUACGCUUAGGAUGUUGACUGAUAUGUAGUCGUA